AUGUGCACRCCCUGAUCGACCUUUCAUACACCUGUGCACAUUCUGUAGGAGAGCGGGGAAACCCUUCUUCUAUGUUUACUACACACCCUUAUAAAAGUCAUUGAACGUCUUGAACUUGUUUGCCUURAAAAGCAUUCAAAUGUAAUACAACUUUCAACAACGGAUCUCUUGGUUCUCGCAUCGAUGAAGAACGCAGCGAAAUGCGAUAAGUAAUGUGAAUUGCAGAAUUCAGUGAAUCAUCGAAUCUUUGAACGCACCUUGCGCUCCUUGGUAUUCCGAGGAGCAUGCCUGUUUGAGUGUCAUUAAAUUCUCAACCCCUUCAACUUUGUUGAUGGAGGGGCUUGGACUUGGAGUGUGCCGGCGUGAGUCGACUCCUCUUUAAAUGCAUUAGCAGAAAUCCCCCUUUCUUGCAGUUGGUGUGAUAAUUAUCUACGCCAGAAGCUURYGAAGGAAUGUUUCCGCUUCAAAUCGUCUUAGGACAACUUUGAAUACAUUUUUGACCUCAAAUCAGGUAGGACUACCCGCUGAACUUAAGCAUAUC
This 541-nucleotide ribosomal RNA is filed under the name uncultured fungus. RNAcentral describes it as "eukaryotic LSU rRNA". Lineage: Eukaryota; Fungi. The record is from RNAcentral.